GACAGAGGUGCCGAGCGUUAGGCGGAAUCACUGGGCUUAAAGCGUGUGUAGGCGGGCGGGCAAGUACCUUGUGAAAUCCCACGGCUCAACCGUGGAACUGCUGGGUAUACUGCCUGUCUUGAGCCAGCCAGGGGCAGUCGGAACAGACGGUGGAGCGGUGAAAUGCGUAGAUAUCGUCUGGAACGCCAAAGGUGAAAACAGACUGCUGGGGCUGUGCUGGACGUGAGACACGAAAGCCAGGGGAG
This 245-nucleotide ribosomal RNA is filed under the name uncultured bacterium. RNAcentral's name for it is "partial 16S ribosomal RNA". It matches the Rfam family "Bacterial small subunit ribosomal RNA", at positions 524 to 768 of the family's 1533-position model. The record is from RNAcentral.